UUUGUUGGAUUGGUAGGAGAGCGUCGCGUGUUGGGUGAAGCGGUAGUGUGAACUGAUCGUGGACGGCACGCGAGUGAGAAUGCAGGCAUGAGUAGCGAAAGACGGGUGAGAAACCCGUCCUCCGAAUGACUAAGGGUUCCAGGGUCAAGCUAAUCUUCCCUGGGUUAGUCGGGUCCUAAGGCGAGGCCGACAGGCGUAGUCGAUGGUGAACGGGUUGAUAUUCCCGUACCGAUGGUGUGACCGCCCAAUGCGAGCGGGUGAUGCUAAGCAAGUGAAGUCUUCUUGUGGCCUUCGGGUUGCUUGGGGGUGGAGGUUGUGAACCGAAUCCGUGAGUGUAGCGUAUUAACAGGUGUGACGCAGGAAGGUAGCCGAGCCGGGUGAAUGGUUGUAUCCGGGCAAGGAUGUAGGGCCAGUGAUAGGCAAAUCCGUCACUGAAUAGCCUGAGAUCUGAUGCGGAAGUCUCUUUUGGGACGUAGUCGGUGAUCCUAUGCUGCCAAGAAAAGCAUCGGCGUGAGGUUGCAGUGUUGCCCGUACCCAUAACCGACACAGGUGGUCAGGUAGAGAAUACUAAGGAGAUCGAGAGAAUCGUGGUGAAGGAACUCGGCAAAAUGCCCCCGUAACUUCGGGAGAAGGGGGGCCAUCCACUUAUACGGAUUUACUCCGGACAGGGUGUGGUGGCCGCAGAGACCAGUGGGACUCGACUGUUUAUCAAAAACACAGGUCCGUGCGAAGUCGCAAGACGAUGUAUACGGACUGACGCCUGCCCGGUGCUGGAAGGUUAAGAGGAAGGGUUAGCUUUGGCGAAGCCUAGAAUUUAAGCCCCAGUAAACGGCGGUGGUAACUAUAACCAUCCUAAGGUAGCGAAAUUCCUUGUCGGGUAAGUUCCGACCUGCACGAAUGGCGUAACGAAUUCCCAGCUGUCUCCACCGCGAACUCGGCGAAAUUGCAGUACGAGUAAAGAUGCUCGUUACGCGCAGCAGGACGAAAAGACCCCGUGACCUUUACUAUAGCUUGGUAUUGGUGAUUGAAAUGGCUUGUGUAGGAUAGGUGGGAGACUGUGAAGCAUUGACGCUAGUUGGUGUGGAGUCGUUGUUGAAAUACCACUCUGGUUAUUUUAGUUAUCUAACUUCGGACCGUGAUCCGGUUCAGGGACAGUGCCUGGUGGGUAGUUUAACUGGGGCGGUUGCCUCCUAAAGAGUAACGGAGGCGCCCAAAGGUUCCCUCAGCCUGGUUGGUAAUCAGGUGGUGAGUGUAAGUGCACAAGGGAGCUUGACUGUGACACUGACAGGUGGAGCAGGGACGAAAGUCGGGACUAGUGAUCCGGCAGUGGCUUGUGGAAGCGCUGUCGCUCAACGGAUAAAAGGUACCUCGGGGAUAACAGGCUGAUCUUGCCCAAGAGUCCAUAUCGACGGCAUGGUUUGGCACCUCGAUGUCGGCUCGUCGCAUCCUGGGGCUGGAGUAGGUCCCAAGGG
This 1472-nucleotide ribosomal RNA is filed under the name Gulosibacter molinativorax DSM 13485. Its description in RNAcentral is "bacterial LSU rRNA". It matches the Rfam family "Bacterial large subunit ribosomal RNA", at positions 1216 to 2571 of the family's 2925-position model. The record is from RNAcentral. Lineage: Bacteria; Bacillati; Actinomycetota; Actinomycetes; Micrococcales; Microbacteriaceae.